GGAUAAAUCGCUUGUGUCAUAUUUCAUCAGAGAUGGAGCAAAUAAAAGAUCUUGAAGGGUCAUUUAAUUCACCUAGUUGGCCAUUUUGAUUGCCACUAUCGCUGCUGCUAUCAAAUUCUAGAAUUAUUUCCCCCUUUUGGGAGAAAGAAAUACCAGCAUGGUGUCUCUCCAGGAAAUCUGGGCCUAACAGAUGAGUGGGAGUGGAGGAACUUAGGAGAAAAGAGUGAGUGUCCCUCAGAGGGCCCAAACCAACGGGCAUGGUCUAGAUACAGGGGCCUGUUGGGGUUCACUGUCUGCGCUGUUUCAGCACACGAGGCAGCACUGUUUACUCGCAGUGGGGCUGAGCACCAAGAGCGCAGCACCAGUGUCGAUGAGUGCAGGGAAAGACUCAUUCCCAAUCUGGACAGUGCUCCCCCCAAGCUGACUAAGGGAAAGGAUUGGGAAGAGCCCUGCGCUUCCUCGGAGCCCCAUUACUGGGGACUGGGGGGGACACUGGAAGGGUUGAUUGGAGGGCUGAAAACCCCUGGGGUUUUUUAGCUUGCAACAGUCCCUUCUCCAAUGCCCUGGCUUUUUACAGAAAUGACAGACACUGGAAGUUUCUGGUUCCGUCCGGAAGCCUCUAUUUGUUGGAAUUGAAAAUUUAAGAUUUUUGUGGUCUUUUCUCUAGUUAAAUCCUCUAUGGUCUGAGUGAGCUGACUUGCCAAACUGACCAAAUCUGGAGCAGACGUGGUCUCCCACUCCAUCCGGGUCCUCUUCACUACAAGGAAAGAUCUCGCUUCAGCCCACUAACAGCCACAGAAUAAAAGCUGCCUGAGGGUCCAGCCCGGUGGCGCAGUGGUUUAAGUGUGCACGUUCCGCUUCAGCGGCCCAGGGUUCACUGGUUCAGAUCCCGGGUGCGGACGUGGGACUACUUGGCAAGCCAUGCUGUGGUAGGCAUCCCACAUAUAAAGUAGAGGAAGAUGGGCACCGAUGUUAGCUCAGGAACAGGCUUCCUCAGCAAAAAGGGGAGGAUUGGCAGCAGAUAUUAGCUCAGGGCUAAUCUUCCUCAAAAAAAAAAAGCUACCUGAGUGGAUUCAGCUUCCCUGGGAGGCCAGAGUUUCCUUUGAAAGUGAUCUGAAGUCGAUUAAAACAGUCAUGAACACAUUCACCAGGCUUUUGCAUACAAGCCUGAAUUUUGUUCCAACCAACAGGCCUGGGAAAGGCUACUGGGAUUGUUUGGUGGGUUUUCCAGCAAGUGUGCUAAUUUCUUGCCAAAACUUAGGGGUUUGUUUUUCUAAAUCCCUUUCGGGAUGUUCCCAUCAGGCAACUUUCACCCAAUAUUGGGCCUGGCCUUCCCCAAUAAGCGUAUGAACUAAAAUCUGAAAAUCCCAGCUGGUAGGUCUGAAUAACUACAUUAAAUUCAUCUGCAAAUCUAUGGGGGUCCUUGGUUGCCUUUGGAAAAUCCUUACCGAUGGCUUUCAAUUCAGCAGUAGUCCAUUGAACAUAAGAGACCUGAGGUCUGUUUGUAUCCUCAGAGGGGAGCCUGAGACAAAGGAGCCUGGUUCAGCCUUCUGGGGAAAGCUGUCUGCCUCACGUCAGCUGCUUCUCUUCCUGGUCAAUUAGAUUUGGAGGCCUCCAGCAUUCGUGCAGGACCAGAUGUCAUGUGGAGCCUUCUUUAGCUGGGAGAUGUGUCUCCAAGGUUCAAUGCCUCCUAGUUCUGAAACAGCGUCAGUGGUCAGGAGCACUUGGUAAGGUCUUUUCCAACGGGGCUCAAGGGCUGUCUUCCUCUGAUGAUGCUUCCAGAAUACCCAGUCACCAGCUUCUAGACUGACCAACAGGAUCCUUUAAAUUGGGAUCCAGGAAAGCUUCUUUAACCUGUUAAUGAUGGGCUUGAGCGUAAGACAUUAGAGUCUUACGGUAGCUGGUCAUACUAGCAUAAGACGACAAGGGGUCAGCAGAAGGUUGUGUACCAACAGACACUGAUCUGCCAGUGACCGUCCCGUGUGGAGUCAGUUCAAGUUUUCCAAAGAGGGCACUGUGAACUGUCAGCAAGACCAAAGGCAACACCUUAGGCCAGGGUGGGUCCAGUCUACAGGUGUAUAAGAAAACUUCAAAGGCAAUUCACGGGACCAGAUUCUAUAUCCACAAGUGAAAAUGAGAAUAUUCACUGAGAGUUUCUGAAUUCUGGAGGGAUUGGGUAGGGAGAAAAAGUAAACCUUUCAUCUUUAUUCACAAAGAUUUUUUUACAUCUGGAAAAACAAAACCUUUGAGCAUCCUCCUCAGUUCAGGUCGUCCCAUGUAAUUAAUAUUUGUUCUAGAUCUUUUGUUAGCAGUUUUAUGAAGCCAUCAGUUUCUCCAUUAGAGUUCUGUAUUUUCUUAUCCAGUUCAGUUUUAUGGUCUGAAAGUUUGCCAGAAACCUGUAAUCCAGAGCAAGUGUCAGAGUCCUUUCCACGAACCUCUCUAAAGAUGAAACCUAUUUGCAAAAGAUUCAGAGUAAAAGAGUAACUCUCUGUAUAUGACAAAAGACUUAAAAUGGCAUGGUUAAAGAUCCAAUUACAUUGCAUUUUACAAGGAAAUUUGGU
Molecule: long non-coding RNA, 2561 nt
Organism: Equus asinus (donkey)
Lineage: Eukaryota; Metazoa; Chordata; Mammalia; Perissodactyla; Equidae
Source: Ensembl